CUGAGUGUUGCGGGCUCUGCCUGCACGUACUCUCACCCAUGUCUUUUGCGUACCGUGUGUUUCCUCGGCGGGUCAGCCCGCCGCGAGGACCCUACAUCUAAACCUUUUUUUUUGCAGUUGCAGUCAGCGUCUGAAAACAACAUAAAUGGUUA
RNAcentral lists this unclassified non-coding RNA (152 nucleotides) under uncultured Ascomycota. Its description in RNAcentral is "sequence contains ITS1". The record is from RNAcentral. Lineage: Eukaryota; Fungi; Ascomycota.